AGAGUUUGAUCAUGGCUCAGAGCGAACGCUGGCGGCAGGCUUAACACAUGCAAGUCUAACGGACGCAGCAAUGCGUCAGUGGCAGACGGGUGAGUAACACGUGGGAACGUGCCCUUCGGUUCGGAACAACCCAGGGAAACUUGGGCUAAUACCGGAUACGUCCGCAAGGAGAAAGAUUUAUCGCCGAAGGAUCGGCCCGCGUCUGAUUAGCUUGUUGGUGAGGUAACGGCUCACCAAGGCGACGAUCAGUAGCUGGUCUGAGAGGAUGAUCAGCCACACUGGGACUGAGACACGGCCCAGACUCCUACGGGAGGCAGCAGUGGGGAAUAUUGGACAAUGGGCGCAAGCCUGAUCCAGCCAUGCCGCGUGGGUGAUGAAGGCCUUAGGGUUGUAAAGCCCUUUCGGCGGGGAAGAUAAUGACGGUACCCGCAGAAGAAGCCCCGGCUAACUUCGUGCCAGCAGCCGCGGUAAUACGAAGGGGGUUAGCGUUGCUCGGAAUCACUGGGCGUAAAGCGCACGUAGGCGGAUUGCUAAGUCAGGGGUGAAAUCCUGGAGCUCAACUCCAGAACUGCCCUUGAUACUGGCGACCUUGAGUCCGGGAGAGGUGAGUGGAACUGCGAGUGUAGAGGUGAAAUUCGUAGAUAUUCGCAAGAACACCAGUGGCGAAGGCGGCUCACUGGCCCGGUACUGACGCUGAGGUGCGAAAGCGUGGGGAGCAAACAGGAUUAGAUACCCUAGUAGUCC
Molecule: ribosomal RNA, 744 nt
Filed under: uncultured bacterium
Lineage: Bacteria
Description: bacterial SSU rRNA
Rfam family: Bacterial small subunit ribosomal RNA
Source: RNAcentral